RNAcentral lists this long non-coding RNA (248 nucleotides) under Nicotiana benthamiana. RNAcentral's name for it is "long non-coding RNA (NBEN_LNC001219)". The record is from RNAcentral. Lineage: Eukaryota; Viridiplantae; Streptophyta; Magnoliopsida; Solanales; Solanaceae.
GUCUGGGGAGGGUAAUAUGUAGACGGGCCUUACCCCUACCCGAAAGGGCAGAGAUGCUGUUUGCAAUCGACCCUCGGCUCAGUGAAGGAAAGGAAAAACAAAAAUAAAAACAAAAGAGCAUAAGUAACUCCAGCAGAAAUAGCGUGGCUCAGUGAAGGAAAGGAAAAACAAAAACAAAAACAAAAGAGCAUAAGUAACUCCAGCAGAAAUAGCGUAAAUAAUUAUCUAAAUAUAAGAACCAUAAAUAA